GACGAACGCUGGCGGCGUGCUUAACACAUGCGAGUCGAACGGAAGGGCCCCUUUGGGGGUACUCGAGUGGCGAACGGGUGAGUAACACGUGAGUAACCUGCCCUUGACUUCGGGAUAACUUCAGGAAACUGGGGCUAAUACCGGAUAGGAAUCCUUGCUGCAUGGUGGGGGUUGGAAAGCUUCGGCGGUUUUGGAUGGACUCGCGGCUUAUCAGCUUGUUGGUGGGGUAGUGGCUUACCAAGGCUUUGACGGGUAGCCGGCCUGAGAGGGCGACCGGCCACAUUGGGACUGAGAUACGGCCCAGACUCCUACGGGAGGCAGCAGUGGGGAAUAUUGCACAAUGGGCGGAAGCCUGAUGCAGCAACACCGCGUGCGGGAUGACGGCCUUCGGGUUGUAAACCGCUUUCAGCAGGGGCGAAGCUUUUGUGACGGUACCUGCAGAAGAAGCACCGGCUAACUACGUG
Molecule: ribosomal RNA, 464 nt
Filed under: uncultured bacterium
Lineage: Bacteria
Description: partial 16S ribosomal RNA
Rfam family: Bacterial small subunit ribosomal RNA
Source: RNAcentral